UUCCAUCUACAAUGGAUAAGACUUCUGUCUUAAUGUAUUAAGAAUGCUUUAAAGGGGCUAUACCCCAUACAUAUCUUCCUAAAAGAAGAUAUGUAUGGGGUAUAGCCCUWUCCCCUUUCUUUGAAUGAUUUAUUCUAUUCUUUUUUUGAUUCAACGACUUAACGACGAGAUUUAUUAUCGUUUCUCGCAUGUCUCGCGAAAGUCAGAGUAGGCGCGAAUUCUCCCAAUUUGKGACSUACCAUACGAUCUGUUAUAUAAAUAGGUAAAUGUUCUUUUCCAUUAUGAAUAGCGAUUGUAUGGCCAAUCAUUGUGGGUAUAAUGGUAGAUGCCCGAGACCAAGUUACUAUUAUUUCUUUCUCCUCCCUCAUGUUGAGUUUUUCAAUUUUUCCCGAUAAAUUCUUAGCUACAAAAGGGUUUUUUUUUAGUGAACGUGUCACAGCUGAUUAGAUUACUCCUUUUUUUUACAUUUUAAA
RNAcentral lists this unclassified non-coding RNA (473 nucleotides) under Dianella nervosa. RNAcentral describes it as "partial miscellaneous RNA". The record is from RNAcentral. Lineage: Eukaryota; Viridiplantae; Streptophyta; Magnoliopsida; Asparagales; Asphodelaceae.